RNAcentral lists this transfer RNA (85 nucleotides) under Felis catus (domestic cat). It matches the Rfam family "tRNA". Rfam says of the family: Transfer RNA (tRNA) molecules are approximately 80 nucleotides in length. Lineage: Eukaryota; Metazoa; Chordata; Mammalia; Carnivora; Felidae. The record is from Rfam by way of RNAcentral.
GCCUGGGUGGCUCAGUUGGUUGAGCUUCUGACUUCGGCUCAGGUCAUGCUCUCACAGUUUGUGGGUUUGAGCCCUGCAUCGGGCU